UACGGGGGGGGCAAGCGUUGUUCGGAAUUACUGGGCGUAAAGGGCUCGUAGGCGGCUCACUAAGUCAGCCGUGAAAUCCCCAGGCUUAACCUGGGAACUGCGUCUGAUACUGGAUGGCUUGAAUUCGGGAGAGGGAUGCAGAAUUCCAGGUGUAGCGGUGAAAUGCGUAGAUAUCUGGAGGAAUACCGAUGGCGAAGGCAGCAUCCUGGACCGAGAUUGACACUGAGGAGCGAAAGCUAGGGGAGCAAACAGG
This 253-nucleotide ribosomal RNA is filed under the name uncultured bacterium. RNAcentral describes it as "partial 16S ribosomal RNA". It matches the Rfam family "Bacterial small subunit ribosomal RNA", at positions 524 to 776 of the family's 1533-position model. The record is from RNAcentral.